AAAAAACAAACAAACAACACUGGGUCAGUAGCCUUGUUUGAUCUUUCUGAAGUUUUUCCAUCGAAAAAGUACUCAUGCUUAAAUUCCUCUCCCAGACGCUCUUUUACCCUCUGAGCUCUCGUGGGUUUCUCGGCUUCCCUUUUAUUCCCCUGCACCUCCGUCCUGGCCAAAGUGCAGGAACAAUACUAGAAAUCAUUUCCCUCGGCCCCGAUGGAAUACCACUCACAGAACUCUGUUUACAGCCACGUUAGGGUGAUCUCAGCGCAGACCUUGAGGUUCUGGGAGGCUUAGGGCAGCACGAAGAGAACAUUUGCUCCAGUAGGCUUUAGGGAAAACCCCCAUCCACUCCAUCCCUGGUACAAGGCAGACAAACCCAUGGGGAUCAGACUUGUAUUAUUGAUAGAAAGGGGUUGACAUUAAAUGCUCCUUCACUCAAAACAUCUACAGGUCAGAGGACUCGAGCUGUGCUCUGGGCACAUGAAAACACAUGUCCGGAUGCACACAGAAUAUCCCAAGUGUUUGACCCUCUUGGUGACUCAAGCAAAGUUGGAGAAAAACAAAGCACAACCCCCUCCCCGCCGGAAUCACUACAACCCCGGGGAAAUGUAAGACUAGCUGACAUUUAUAGCUUCAACAUCCAAUCCCUGGCAAUGCCUGCCUCAGCCUGAUUGUCAGCUCUCCUGAGAGCCCAGAACUAAAACUGAACGUUUCCCCACUGCCAGCUCACAGUGUCCUAAAGACCAGCCGGGCUGAUGAACCUGCAGCUUUGUCCACCAUCUAUCCACUCAGGCUCUGACUGAUGCUCCAGCGCUGGGAAAUACUUCCUGGUGGUGAUUAGCAGGCACCUGCCCUGUGCCGAGUACACAGGAAUGAACACCAGAAUGGGGCAAGACAUCAGUUAGUCCUCAGUCCCAGGGACUGUAUCAGGAGGAGACAGACAGAGCUGGCACAUGUUCCAGUAGAAUCAGAUGCCAUGAUCAGCUAAGAGGGGACACAAGACCUAAGACAUCGUGACAGAACCUGACUUCCGGGCCAGAUGCUGUGCUCAGAGAAUGUGAAAUUGACUCCGGAGCCAGAGGGAGCCUGGGGGGGCAGGGGGUGGGGUAAGGCUUUGGGAGUAAGUCUGGCUCAGAUGGAACCAUAGGGGACCUCAGGAGCCAGUGGGGCAGCAGGAUCUUGAGUGGUCACCGUUAUGUCACCUUGGUUAGAAGCCGAACUAUCAGUGGCUUUCAAAGAAGGAAAGCAGCCUGUGAGGGGGUGGAGCCGCCUGCUUAGUCCUUUCAGAUGUGGGCAAAAGGUAAAAGGUUUUGAUUCUUAUUUUGCAACACUGUUACCUUCACCUUGGAAUCAACGAGCUAAGGCCUGGGCAAGCCAAUCAGUGUGAAUCCCACAAACACAAGCUAGGCUUUGUACAGCUUUCCGGAUGUCACUCUAUAAUGCCAUUUACAUGCCUUAUAAAAUAUAAAAGGGCCACCUACCAUUUAUAAAGUGGUAAACACAGGAAGGGGGUGAGAUGGGUCUUUUGUGCGCUUAUGAAGUACAGAGGCGUUUCCUCCGGCUUUGUGCUGUGGGCUUUCUCAGAAGGGGUGAACAUCAAAGGCCCGACAAUAACCGUUCAGUCUCGGAAAGUGGAGUGUCUCCUUUCUCGUCACUUGCUGUUUACCUAAAGUCUUGUAGUUUAUAAUCUGCUGUUCUGAACACUUCAGUAGGAGACUUUUCAAGGGAGUGAGCCGGCCUACACUAAACGCAAGGUGCAAAGAUCCCAGACAAAGUGAGAUUGUCACCAGGCAACAGGUCUCAGUUGGAUCCCAUGCUCUUGAACAGGACGGGUGAGUGACUGCUGUGGUUACUCACGUUCCAGGCAAAUGAAAUAAGGGAAAUCAAAAUGAACACUCACGGGUGUGAUCUCUGAAGCUCUAAGCUCUUGGCUUUAUAGGGGUUAAACUUAGGCAAGGUCGCACACGGUGGCAGCAGGAUGAGAGCUGCCCAACCAUAGGCAGGUCCCAAACUGUGUCUUCCAAUCAGAGAGGCAGAACAAACGGCUGGGAACCCCCCCCCCCAAGCCGGCCUCCUGCUUCAUGGCUCUUCUCACCCAUUGUGCCUACAUCGUGUGAGAACUGUCCGUUCAGUUCUCCAACAUAGGAUGUUAUGGAACUGGAGCUUCCGGUUCAGCCUGCACAGCAAGUGUUAACUGCUUCAGGUCCAGAGGAAACACAUGAGUCUUUUCAUCACAUUUAGCGUGCAAAGCCUCACAUCCUGUUUGGAUGUCAGGACGAUAGGAGGCCUGGGUCUGAUGAGACCGAAUAGGAAGAUCAAGGUGGGGCACUGGGUGUGGUUAAAUGAAAGUCUAGGUCACUAGGUGACUGGGUGUGAAGCAAAGCUCGGCAGGGUUCUCUUCGCUGACAGGGCUUAGCCACUGCUGUGGUAGAACCUGUGGUCUGAUGGGUAAGAACAAGAAGGCCACUUCCUGUCCCAAGGACCAGGAGGUGAAGACACUUGUGGCUGCAAACUCUGCCUACAAUUAGGCCCUGGGAUGAGUUUGAACCAUGAGUUCCGGAUGUUUCCACCCUCGCUGGCUUCUCAGGGGUGGCCAGCAUUCAUCUUCAUAUCAUUUCUCCUGAUGUGCGGGUUUAAAGGCUGCUUUACGGCACAUUCAGGAGCUCCCACUUGGGUCAGUACUUAGCAAGACCUCCUGGCCACCUUGGAAUGGUGAGGCUGCACCUCUGCUGUGACUGGUGUGACCUCGGAGGGCUGUGUCAUGGGAGGCCUCUCCCCACACUCCAACACUGAUACCCUCUAGGAGCCAGAAACUCCCCAAGUGUACCUGACCAGGGUAAAGUACCGGGUAAGGAGUGGCUGUGACACAACCCCAGCACAACUGAGGAGGCUAUGCUCUUAGGAUUAUUACCUCCCAUUGGGACUGACGGUCACGUGGGUGGGGGCCCGUUACCCUUCCAGCUCAUGCUGGUAGCCUGCCUAUAAGACAUCAACACCUUCUCUCUGAGAGGGUCUCAGGAAUAUUACACAGGCACUUUUCAUUUAUAUAGGUUAUACAUUCCCGGGUCUGAGAGCGUAUUCCGGGCACUCCUAAGACCAUCAUACUUUAUCAGAGAGCAGCAGAGAAGGCGUCAAGAUAGACGGUAUGUGGAAAGGAGCAGGCUGAGUCUUAGGGUAGACUUCCAGGUGUCCCUCUCCUUUGGGACGGGGAGGUAACAGACAUUAACUAAGGCAAGCAGUGGUCUCCAGCUAGCUCUGGGCACCUUGCUAUGCUAGCUGCCUGCUCUGUCAAUCUUCCAAACAACACCUGGCUCCAAGAACAAGUGAGUUUGGGCAACUUAACACUGCCUGUCUGAUACACUGAUCUCUGUAUUAUUAUUGUUGCUACGACUUGUGCUGGCUGGUUUUAUGUCCACUUGACGCCCGCUGCAGUCAUCAGAGGAGGGAACCAACUCAGAAUAUGCCACCGUAAGAUCGGGAUGUAGGCAAGCCGGUUCAGCAUUUUCCUUUAUUAAUAACUGAUGGAAAUGACCCAGUCCGCUGUGGGCAGUGCCAGCCUGGGCUGGUGGUUCUGGGUUCUAUAAGCAGGCUAAGUAAGCCAUGAAAAGCAAGCCAGUAAGCAGCACUCCUCCAUGGCCUCUGCAUGAGCUCCUGCCACACCCCCACCCCGGGUUCCUGUCUCAUGAGUUCCUGACCUGACAUCCUUCAAUGAUGAACAGUCGGUGACAGGGAAGUGUAAGUCAGAUAAGUCCUUUUCCCUCCCCCAAGCUGCUUUUGAUCAUGGCGUUUCACCACGGCAACGGUCACUCUGAUUGACACUACUGUUCUAAUUACCGUCAUCGAAUGUGCUUCUGCAACACAGAGUGUCUUUGUCUGGCCAUAAAGGUCCCGACUUAGCUUGUUUCAUUGGACACAAACACAGCCACCCAUGGUCCCGUGGGUCCUUUAGCACAGUAGAACUCUCUGCCCCUCACUUCAUGCCUUACCCUUAGAGGUGAAGCUUGUCUCUUACAGACAGCGUCAGUUGAAUCCUAUCUGGAAAGCAGCUGCCAUGGGCUCUUUUGGAGAACUUAACCGACAUUAUGCAUGAGGUGUGCUAUGCUAUCUGGAUGUUUGGUCCAACACCAGUCUUACUGUCACCUGAAGCACUUUUGAGAUAAGACUAGCAGAUUGAGCAAUGGAGAUGCCCUCUGUUCUCCGAGGAGCGCCUUACCCGGUCAUUGCAUGCUUAGGAGAAAUGGAGGUGUCUGAGGGAAAGAGAACCCAGACUCCAGGCUCACACCGCACCGCCACCUCUUUGUGGUAGGCUAACACACUUCCUGUGACUGUAGCUGAACACCUGAGCUGGGAAGUUUAUGAAACAUGGAAAAAUUGUUUAUCUCUGAGGAUGGGAAAGUCCAAGGGCAUGGCGCCGGCUGUCUGCAGGGCUGUUGGCACGGCUGUUGGUUGCUGCUUCAGGGAAUAGCCAAAAGCACAGGGCAAGUGAUCCCUACACAAGAUGCAAAACGUGAGGGGUGCACUCACGACGAACCAAGUCCUACAAGAGCUUGCAUGAGAGCAGCACCAACCUCCGAAUGACCAAGUAUGUGCCAUUAGGAACCAAGCCUCCAGGACAGCCUUUCGGGGGAGACUCUAUACCCUAACCAUAACUGGGACCACGCCUCCGUAUAAGUGUUGGAGAACAAUCACAUUCAAAGCUCAGGACCUGGAGCCCCGGCCUGCUGCAUGGUUCAUCUUCAUUGUCAACCUGACUGGAUUUGGAAUUAUCUAGAAGAUGUACCUCUGAAGGGAAGAGCCACCCUGAAUGUGGGAGGCACCAUCUUUAUGCUAAAAUUGAAGAAAGCACGUUGGGGCAGCAACAUUCAUCUUCUUGCUGCUUCUGGACUGAAUGUGACCCAACCUGAGCCAGAAUAAAUCCCUCUCCCUUUAAA
Molecule: small RNA, 4928 nt
Filed under: Rattus norvegicus (Norway rat)
Lineage: Eukaryota; Metazoa; Chordata; Mammalia; Rodentia; Muridae
Description: uncharacterized LOC102551149
Source: RNAcentral